UGGGGAAUAUUGCACAAUGGAGGGAACUCUGAUGCAGCGACGCCGCGUGAGUGAUGAAGGAAUUCGUUUCGUAAAACCCUGUUCUAUGGGAAGAAAAGGACUGUACCAUAGGAGAAAGCUCCGGCUAAAUACGUGCCAGCAGCCGCGGUAAUACGUAUGGAGCGAGCGUUGUCCGGAAUUAUUGGGCGUAAAGGGUGCGCAGGCGGCUUUACAAGUUGGAUGUGAAAUAUUGUGGCUCAACCACAAACGUGCAUCCAAAACUGCAAAGCUUGAGUUAAGGAGAGGUAAGUGGAAUUCCUGGUGUAGCGGUGGAAUGCGUAGAUAUCAGGAGGAAUGCCGGUGGCGAAGGCGACUUACUGGACUUAAACUGACGCUCAGGCACGAAAGCGUGGGGAGCAAACAGG
RNAcentral lists this ribosomal RNA (404 nucleotides) under Fusobacteriota bacterium. Its description in RNAcentral is "Fusobacteria bacterium partial 16S ribosomal RNA". It matches the Rfam family "Bacterial small subunit ribosomal RNA", at positions 355 to 776 of the family's 1533-position model. Lineage: Bacteria; Fusobacteriati; Fusobacteriota. The record is from RNAcentral.